GAUAAUUUGACAUUUCUUCAACGGAACCCAGCACCUGAAUAUGGCUGAGUAUAUUUGAUUUAAUAUCGAUACUGCUUAGUGUUCUUUGUUACUUCAGCUUUUGUACGUUCUAAAUAUCUGCUGUCAUUCAUUGCCACAGAAGUUAAACCCUACCCAAUAGAAUGACGUUAAACAACGACUUUGGUGCAGAGUUAACAACUGGAUAAUAUAAAAGCUAAAAUAAUGGCCGUCAUUCCCACAUGUUACAGUAGAAGAUACUCUAGAACUGUACAAGGUUAAAAAUGUAACAUGUAGUUUGUCCCAAGGUGUCUGCCUCCUCACCCAGAGCCAGACCUCCACCUCCUCACCCAGAGCCAGACCUCCACCUCCUCACCCAGAGCCAGACCUCCACCUCCUCACCCAGAGCCAGACCUCCACCUCCUGUCAGAAGUCCUCCAGAACAGGCGAGGCUGAGAGGCUGGGGACCGGAGGCUUGUGGUGCCAGGGUGGACCGGAGACUGAGGCUGGAGACCAGGGGCCUGCAGCACCGGACCAGAGGACCAGGAAUCCAUGGCUGAAGGCGCUGAUGGAGGAGCCGUGCUGAUGGAGGAGCCGUGCUGAUGGAGGAGCCGUGCUGAUGGAGGAGCCGCGCUGAUGGAGGAGCCGUGCUGAUGGAGGAGCCGGAUGGAGGAGCCGUGCUGAUGGAGGAGCCGUGCUGAUGGAGGAGCCGUGCUGAUGGAGGAGCCGUGCUGAGGGCCCUGGGCUGGUGGAGGAGCUGGUGGAGGGCCUGCCUGGGGAAUGACGUCUAUCGUAGACCAGGACUCUGUCUGAGGAGAGCUGCUGUAGGAGCUGAGACGCUGGAGGACGACUAGGAAUCGACCAACAAGGAUUCCUCAACGUGUUUCUGGAGCGGAGGCGAGCUGGUAGGGGAGCCGUGAAUCUGGAGGAUGACCAUCACUCUACAAACAAGGAUUGCAAGUUUGUAUUAACCAAACAAACUGGAAAUAAAGGGCUUAAAAAUAAGACAAAGUACACGUUUGUUACCAGACUUUAGGGCCUGACUCACGCUGUUUGUUCCAGACCAGGACUCUGGCUGAGGAGAGCUGAUGGAGGAGCCAAGACUCUGGAGGACGACAUCACUCCACCAACCAGGAUCCUCGUAAGUUUGCCUAAAAUAAACAGAGUGGACUUGUUGUAACGCAGGAUUAGUUUGUCCAGUACAAGUUACGGCAUACU
Long non-coding RNA from Gadus morhua (Atlantic cod), 1215 nucleotides. NCBI's taxonomy places the organism in Eukaryota, Metazoa, Chordata, Actinopteri, Gadiformes, Gadidae. The record is from Ensembl.